Molecule: long non-coding RNA, 2473 nt
Filed under: Onthophagus taurus
Lineage: Eukaryota; Metazoa; Arthropoda; Insecta; Coleoptera; Scarabaeidae
Description: uncharacterized LOC111415758
Source: RNAcentral
UGUUUAAAAAACACAUGAGACAUUUAUUUUGAAAACACGAGGGAGAAUAAGAUUAAAAUAGCUAUCGAGAUAAUAGAUAUCGUCGGCCAAGAAUACACACGUCUAAGACUCAAUUGGAACUAAUUGAAACACAAAGGCAGAUAAGGGAGAAUUAAUUCGAAACUGCUCUGCCUUCUCGUUGGUCUCAGGGUCUCUUCGGUAAGAGAGAAUGUAAAACACGCCGGCAUUGUAACAUUUAAGUAUUCAAAUUGUCCUGUGUGCUGCCUCGCAUGGACAAUAGCUUCGAGCUCUGUGCGGAGGCAUUUAGAGGAAGACUUUGCUCGAACGCCAGCGAUUAAUUCCAGCGAUAAACAGAAGCCAGGGGCGUACUAACAAAACGUUAAGGACCUUAAGAGCAUUCGGUUAAAAGAUCUAAUUUUACGACAAUCAUAAACGAGAUGUUUUCUAAACAGCGUGAAGAUGAUCAUGUUUACUGACACCAUGAUAUGUACUAUAAAUAAAACUGUUGGAAGGUUUCGAUGUAAUGAACUCAAAAAGUAUAUCGUAUCUAAAUUCCCAUAAAUAAUUAUCGGGUAACGAUAUACUUCAAUAUAAAAUGAAUCAUAGUAUUGAAUUCGUUUACCUCAGAGAUAACAUUACCAUUCCAAUCUUAACUCGCUGGUAUAUCAUUAUUUAACUAUUCAAGUCUAUGACUCAGACUGCAAUUAUAAUCGCAUAGAGAUCAUGAUUUAUGCAUAAACGCCCAGUAAUUAUAUCGACUUCAGCUCAACGUCCUAUUAUAAAUAUACUUUGAAACCGGUCAUGUACCUAUAACCAAUAACACAAGACAUUGCAAAUCCUUUCAUACACACAACGUUUUACGUCCUUGCAUCUGAACCUUAAUGGGUGAAGGGUACAGCUGAUGGGCAGUUACGUUUGACUGGCAACAUACAGGUCCAGUUUCUCUCGUCUGUCUUAUUCGUUUAUGUUUGUAUAUUGCACGUGCACAUAUGAUUAUGAGUGUGUGUGUUUAUUGAACAAGAAUACCAAGUAAAACGAAUACCAAAGCGCCAAGCCGAUUGUGUACACGUGACGUAGACGAGAAACUCGUAGGUUUGCGCUGAAUACGGUGGGUUUAACGUCGACCUUGGAACGGUACAAUAACCUAACCUAACUCUGCGACAACUCCCCAUUCGUGUGCAGCCAUACGUGGUGCUGUGCUCUGUUAUUGAGAUUGGUGACGAGCAAAUGGUUUUUUGAUGACCAUUGUUGGGGUGUACAAAUGGCAGUGGACAUUAUUGAUGAUAUAAGGAUAAUGUAAAAUGAGAUUUAACGAAACAAACUGCAAUGUUAACCACAGAUUAAUUCAAAAAGUAAUUUAAAAAACGGAGAAUGAAACAGAAGUGCACAUGUUUGAUACGGUGUUAAACCCAACCUAUUCAAAAUGUAAUUUCAACAUUUUCAGUCGUUCGUUCAAUUCCCGUAAAUUGGCGGGUGACAUUGACCCUAACGCUGGCCAUUGUGUGCCGGUUCGGCCUAAAACGAGAGAGGAUCAACGGCACAGCAUGCAUACAAGGGAAGGACAGGCACGGUAUCGGCGUGAAUCACGUCGUUUACAACGCACUAUUUAUAAAAAGACCUUUGAAUCUUCUCUACGACUGCAAGUAAAUCGUGCGGUUACGGAAAUAGACAUCCGUAAAAUGUUGACGCAGAUCAGGAAUUAAGAACGUUUCUUAUUUUACAUUAUAACGCAAAGAUUAUGCAAUUUUAUUACCAAUAACGAUAGUAAGUCUACAAUUACUGAAGAGAUUAAUAGACCAAGGCUACCGAACACACCUUUCAAUAUAAAGGUUUUAUUAUUGAAGUCUUUAACAAUUCCUUUUUUUAGUGAAUAACUUAUAACGUUGAUCAGCAUGGUUUGUCGUUGUCGGAAGCAUAUUAACGAGCACCUAAUUUAUGAAAUGCGAACACUGUAAAGGAGGAGUUAUGCUAUGCGGUCAAUUGUCAUUGUCGUUUCGCAUACCGGAUGUACAAGACCAUCUGUGUAACACUGUUGGACAUCACUUACUGAAAACGACUCGUUGUUUCGUUAGCGUCAUGGAUAAGCCAAUAGUCACGACAAAUUUGUGGGGAUUAGAAGACCGACCGAAAUGGUAAAAUGUCAAAAUUAAACGUGAAGGUCACAUAUGGCAGAGCGGAGAGUGGUUUAUAUAUAGAUCGCGGCGACCUGAAAAGACCAGUUCUUGGGCAGCCUGUUUCAAAGAUAAGUUUUGCACGUUCGAGCCACGUUUCCACUACGACCAGAGGCGCCGCAUGCCCCUAAUGAGGACAGCAAAAAUAUCUAGAAGAACGAGUUUCUUUUUUUAAUCAUGUUCCUCUAUGUUUACGCCCGUUAAAGCAAAUUAACGGGCGUAUGAUAAGUUUUGGUUCCUAUUGUUAGUGUCUUAACUAAAUACGAUAAUAAUAAAAAAAUUAUUCUUAGAUUUCAUGUAAA